UGUCUAGUAUAAGCAAUUAUACCGCGAAACUGCGAAUGGCUCAUUAUAUAAGUUAUCGUUUAUUUGAUAAUACUUUACUACUUGGAUAACCGUGGUAAUUCUAGAGCUAAUACAUGCUGAAAAUCCCGACUUCGGAAGGGAUGUAUUUAUUAGAUUAAAAACCAAUGCCCCUCGGGGCUCUCUGGUGAAUCAUGAUAACUAGUCGAAUCGACAGGCCUUGUGCCGGCGAUGGCUCAUUCAAAUUUCUUCCCUAUCAACUUUCGAUGUUUGGGUAUUGGCCAAACAUGGUGGCAACGGGUAACGGAGGGUUAGGGCUCGACCCCGGAGAAGGAGCCUGAGAAACGGCUACUACAUCCAAGGAAGGCAGCAGGCGCGCAAAUUACCCAAUCCCGACACGGGGAGGUAGUGACAAUAAAUACUGAUACAGGGCUCUUUUGGGUCUUGUAAUCGGAAUGAGUACAAUUUAAAUCCCUUAACGAGGAACAAUUGGAGGGCAAGUCUGGUGCCAGCAGCCGCGGUAAUUCCAGCUCCAAUAGCGUAUAUUAAAGUUGUUGUGGUUAAAAAGCUCGUAGUUGAACCUUGGGCCUGGCUGGCCGGUCCGCCUCACCGCGUGCACUGGUCCGGCCGGGCCUUUCCCCUCUGCGGAACCCCAUGCCCUUCACUGGGUGUGGCGGGGAAACAGGACUUUUACUUUGAAAAAAUUUANAGUGCUCAAGGCAGGCCUAUGCUCGAAUACNUUAGNAUGGAAUAAUAGAAUAGGACGNGNGGAUUCUAUUUUGUUUGGUUUCUAGGACC
RNAcentral lists this ribosomal RNA (795 nucleotides) under Trichoderma reesei. RNAcentral's name for it is "SSU rRNA". It matches the Rfam family "Eukaryotic small subunit ribosomal RNA", at positions 56 to 859 of the family's 1831-position model. Lineage: Eukaryota; Fungi; Ascomycota; Sordariomycetes; Hypocreales; Hypocreaceae. The record is from RNAcentral.